UACGUAGGUGGCAAGCGUUAUCCGGAAUUACUGGGCGUAAAGCGCACGCAGGCGGUCUUUUAAGUUUGACGUGAAGGCUCCCGGCUUAACUGGGAGAGGUCGUUGAAUACUGGAAGACUUGAGGCAAUGAGAGGGGUGUAGAAUUCCCGGUGUAGUGGUGGAAUGCGUAGAUAUCGGGGGGAAUACCAGUGGCGAAAGCGGCACCCUAGCGUUAGCCUGACGCUCAUGUGCGAAAGCGUGGGGAGCGAACGGG
RNAcentral lists this ribosomal RNA (253 nucleotides) under uncultured bacterium. RNAcentral's name for it is "partial 16S ribosomal RNA". It matches the Rfam family "Bacterial small subunit ribosomal RNA", at positions 524 to 776 of the family's 1533-position model. The record is from RNAcentral.